UAACCACUCAAGCUCUCGCUUGGUAUUGGGGUUCGCGGUUUCGCGGCCCCUAAAAUCAGUGGCGGUGCCUGUCGGCUCUACGCGUAGUAAUACUUCUCGCGAUUGAGUCCGAUAGGUCUACUUGCCAGUAACCCCCAAUUUUUACA
Molecule: unclassified non-coding RNA, 146 nt
Filed under: Ascomycota sp.
Lineage: Eukaryota; Fungi; Ascomycota
Also listed under: 2 other names
Description: partial internal transcribed spacer 2
Source: RNAcentral